RNAcentral lists this ribosomal RNA (497 nucleotides) under uncultured bacterium. RNAcentral's name for it is "partial 16S ribosomal RNA". It matches the Rfam family "Bacterial small subunit ribosomal RNA", at positions 28 to 507 of the family's 1533-position model. The record is from RNAcentral.
GAUGAACGCUGGCGGCGUGCCUAAUACAUGCAAGUCGAGCGAACAGACGAGGAGCUUGCUCCUUUGACGUUAGCGGCGGACGGGUGAGUAACACGUGGGUAACCUACCUAUAAGACUGGGAUAACCUCGGGAAACCGGAGCUAAUACCGGAUAAUAUUUCGAACCGCAUGGUUCGAUAGUGAAAGAUGGCUUUGCUAUCACUUAUAGAUGGACCUGCGCCGUAUUAGCUAGUUGGUAAGGUAACGGCUUACCAAGGCAACGAUACGUAGCCGACCUGAGAGGGUGAUCGGCCACACUGGAACUGAGACACGGUCCAGACUCCUACGGGAGGCAGCAGUAGGGAAUCUUCCGCAAUGGGCGAAAGCCUGACGGAGCAACGCCGCGUGAGUGAUGAAGGUCUUCGGAUCGUAAAACUCUGUUAUUAGGGAAGAACAAACGUGUAAGUAACUGUGCACGUCUUGACGGUACCUAAUCAGAAAGCCACGGCUAACUACGUG